Molecule: long non-coding RNA, 634 nt
Organism: Cyprinus carpio (common carp)
Lineage: Eukaryota; Metazoa; Chordata; Actinopteri; Cypriniformes; Cyprinidae
Source: Ensembl
AUGGUUGCAAUCAGAUCUUUUGGGCAAGACCUAUUCGGACUCGUUUUCCCAGAGGAAAUCAGCUUACAGCAUCCUUUAAGAAAUCUAACCCCAGUCGGGAUGGAAAUGAACAGGAAGCGAAUUUCAUCUUGUGGAAACCUUUGGAUGCAUCACUGUACAACCAUGUUGAGCAAUCAUCAACAUCAUCAUUAUCAUCAUCAUCAUAACUGCCGUGCUACAAUAGAUCCCAGCAGGGGACAUUGCAGGAUGAAUAUAAAACCUCUAACUUUCUUCAAAUGCAAAUCUAUAACAAUGUAAACCUUUUCAUUAGAUGUUUGUGUUAUUUUAUUCUCGCCAUGUCCAUAAAUUUACAUAAAACACAUAAAAAACCUAUCUUGCUUCAACAAAAGAUUUAUUUUGCAUGGGAGAUGCAAAUGGUCCUAAAGUAGAUUUCAGUAUACUGCUAAACUUUUGAUUUUGGGUUGAAAUAUGAUCCAGACAGAUUCUCACAUAUAAUUUAGCACAAAUCACAUAUUGAAUGGAGAGAGAAAGAAGGUCACCCUUGACGCCGUUGAUGUUCAGGGAUGUCACAUAAUAGGCAGUUCACUUUUUUCCAGGGCAUAAAGUUGUGGCAUUCUGGCCCAGAUAUGUCAUA